AAACUUUCUAGGAUCACACCCUCCCAAAGGGAAUGCUAACAAGUGUCUCUUGAUCAAAGAAAUCUGUGAUCAAAUAAGUUCCAGAAAUGCGGGAUCUGACCAAGCAAGGCAGCAAACCCUGCAAUUUGCUUUUGAAUCCUACAACUGAGUACUUGGAUGGAUGAAGUGGCUGCAGGGUGCCUCUGAGGGAUACACGUGAAGGUGGAACCACUGUGGAACGGAAGCUUCAGAGAAGUCGCUGUCUCCAUGGACCCAUUGCAAACACAAUGACCUGAUGAGGAGAGAAAUUCCAUCUUGGAAAAAAAGAGACAGCUGAGUCUACAGGGUCCCUAUUUGUGAGUUUAAGACUUUAUAAUCAAUUUUGAAAGAUGGAAUCUAAUAGAAAUUUAAAUUCUGUCUCUAUUAGGGCUCAUCAAAAAGGGGCAUA
Molecule: long non-coding RNA, 427 nt
Organism: Cebus imitator (Panamanian white-faced capuchin)
Lineage: Eukaryota; Metazoa; Chordata; Mammalia; Primates; Cebidae
Exons: 2
Source: RefSeq, a predicted model, not a curated record